This is a long non-coding RNA of Nymphaea colorata (pocket water lily), 1744 nucleotides long. RefSeq lists it as uncharacterized. The transcript has 4 exons. The record is from RefSeq and is a predicted model, not a curated record. Lineage: Eukaryota; Viridiplantae; Streptophyta; Magnoliopsida; Nymphaeales; Nymphaeaceae.
UUUGAUUUGUUUAGCAAUGUUAUGUUUAAACAAGAUUUUAAGCAUGUUUUUAUGACACUGCUAUGUUUGUUAAAAAUACUGCUAUAGGUACAAUUGUGUUGCUUUUAUAUGUAGAUGAUAUGAUUAUUACAGGUAACGAUGCCAACAGAAUUAUGCAGGUAAAGGCUUUCCUUAAGAAUGAAUUUGAAAUGACUGAUUUGGGUAAACUAACAUAUUUCCUUGAUGUUGAAGUUGCUUAUAGUAGGAGAGGAUACUUCCUCUCACAAAUGAAGUUUGCCAAUAACAUUAUAAGCAGAUCAGGAAUCACUGAUGACAAGAUAGUGGACACUCCUGAAGCUUUAGGAGUAAAGAUGAAGAUUGAUGAUGGAGAAAUUUUAGAAAAUCCCACCCCCUUUCGUCAAUUGGUGGGCGCUCUCACAUAUUUAUCCAUCACAAGCCUGACAUAUCACAUGUUGUACAUGUCAUAAGUCAGUUUCAACAAAGACCCACUUCUGUACACAUGGGGGCUGCAUUGAGGAUUGUUCGAUAUGUCAAACACACUAUCACGAAGGGACUUUUUCUAUCCUCCUCAUCAAACUUGAAUAUGAUUGCCUAUACUGACGCUGAUUGGGGUGGAGAUCCUAAUAAUAGGCAUUCUAUCGCUGGUUUUUGUGUUUUUCUAGGUGACUCUCAUUUCUUGGAGAUGCAAAAAACAACAAAAAGUCUCUCUAUCUUCAACCGAAGCUGAGUAUCGUGCCAUGGCUACCACCAUGAUGGAGAUUGUAUGGUUGAAAAGCUUAUUGAAGGACAUUGGAAUUGACCUCAAUGAAGCCACCAAGUCUGCUGCGACAAUUAAAGUGUCAUCUACAUUGCUAUCAAUCAUACUUUUCAUGAAAGGACAAAACAUAUUGAAAUGGAUUGUCACUAUGUGAGAGAGGAAUAUCUUAGCAGAACAAUUGAUCUAUCUUUUGUCCCUUCUGAAUAUCAACUUGGAGAUUUCUUCACCAAACCACUUGCUUCCGCAAGAUUUCAGUUUCUUCUUGGCAAACUUUCGGUGAUUACACCGUAAGUUUGAGGGGGGGUGUUAGAAUUUAUAAUGUAUAUGCUCCAUGUUCCCUGGGAGAGGUCUGCAGUUUGGCUUCAACCGAGUCACGUGGAAUACCAGAUGGACUUGGGCAGCUGGUGGCGAAGCUAUACAAUAAGCAGCUUUCCCAACACACUGAAGCACUUGGAAACAAUAUUGGACGAGGAAGAGGUAUAAAAUUGGUAGCUAUCCUACAUCCAGUGGUCAGCCAUUAUCAAGAUUCUUCUACUUUCAGUGAGGGCAAACUUAUCCAAGUCCUUCUAGCCAGUUUAGGUUAACCUUCUCAAGCUUAAUAUUCUUGUCAUGUGCUGGCCUAAUCUUAACAAGGGAGGAAGAGAAGGAAGGAAUGCCCUAACCAGGGAUGAGCAAGGGACACAUAAACUCCCAGUUCGAUGGAGUAAGGGUAAUUGUCCAGGUCUUGUGGAAUAAAGAGCCAUCCUACUACAAUAGGCAGGUUAGGUUCUAUCAUUGCUGUGGACUGUCAGUGAGGAGGCUGUAGAAUCUUUUUUUUCUCUGCUAGAAGUGUGGGUUUGAACAUAAGCAUGUAAUGAAAAGAAAAUGACAAAAAUCCUAAUCAUAGAUACUUGAAAAGCAUUACUCCAUAUGAUUGCAAUGUAGGAAAAUUUGGAAGGCGCAUGGGUACACCUUCAUAUGGAAUGCAACUACAUUCGUAUUGGUUUC